RNAcentral lists this ribosomal RNA (497 nucleotides) under uncultured bacterium. RNAcentral describes it as "partial 16S ribosomal RNA". It matches the Rfam family "Bacterial small subunit ribosomal RNA", at positions 28 to 507 of the family's 1533-position model. The record is from RNAcentral.
GACGAACGCUGGCGGCGUGCCUAAUACAUGCAAGUUGAGCGCUGAAGGUUGGUACUUGUACCAACUGGAUGAGCAGCGAACGGGUGAGUAACGCGUGGGGAAUCUGCCUUUGAGCGGGGGACAACAUUUGGAAACGAAUGCUAAUACCGCAUAAAAACUUUAAACACAAGUUUUAAGUUUGAAAGAUGCAAUUGCAUCACUCAAAGAUGAUCCCGCGUUGUAUUAGCUAGUUGGUGAGGUAAAGGCUCACCAAGGCGAUGAUACAUAGCCGACCUGAGAGGGUGAUCGGCCACAGUGGGACUGAGACACGGCCCAAACUCCUACGGGAGGCAGCAGUAGGGAAUCUUCGGCAAUGGACGAAAGUCUGACCGAGCAACGCCGCGUGAGUGAAGAAGGGUUUCGGAUCGUAAAACUCUGUUGGUAGAGAAGAACGUUGGUGAGAGUGGAAAGCUCAUCAAGUGACGGUAACUACCCAGAAAGGGACGGCUAACUACGUG